AGCAGUCGCCACGGGAAUACCAGCACCUCGAGUGGUCAGGAGGUUUAUUGGGCCUAAAGCAUCCGUAGCCGGUUGCAUAAGUUUUCGGUUAAAUCUAUGCGCUUAACGUAUAGGCCGCCGAAAAUACUGUGCAGCUAGGGAGUGGGAGAGGUACACGGUACUCGAUAGGAAGGGGUAAAAUCCUUUGAUCUAUUGAUGACCACCUGUGGCGAAGGCGGUGUACCAGAACACGUUCGACGGUGAGGGAUGAAAGCUGGGGGAGCAAACCGGAUUAGAUACCCCCGUAGUCCCUGUCUCUUAUAC
Molecule: ribosomal RNA, 303 nt
Filed under: uncultured bacterium
Lineage: Bacteria
Description: partial 16S ribosomal RNA
Rfam family: Archaeal small subunit ribosomal RNA
Source: RNAcentral